Molecule: unclassified non-coding RNA, 346 nt
Filed under: Hydnodontaceae sp.
Lineage: Eukaryota; Fungi; Basidiomycota; Agaricomycetes; Trechisporales; Hydnodontaceae
Description: partial contains 5.8S ribosomal RNA, internal transcribed spacer 2, and large subunit ribosomal RNA
Rfam family: 5.8S ribosomal RNA (bases 1-71)
Source: RNAcentral
GUGAGUCAUCGAAUCUUUGAACGCACCUUGCGCCCCUUGGUAUUCCGAGGGGCAUGCCUGUUUGAGUGUCUUGAAAUCAUCAAACCGAACCGGUUCUUUGCGGCCGGGUGCGGUUUGGACUUGGGGGUUUCCUUGCUGCCGCUCGCGGUGGCUCCCCUUAAAUUCAUCGGUCGGGCUUUCGUGCGGCUCUGUCCCUUGGCGUUGUAUUACCCUCGUCGCUGGACUGCUCGCGAUACAGCGCCCUUCUUCGACCUGCCUCUGGAGCGGCGGUCUAUGACUUUUUGUGAUCUGACCUCAAAUCAGGUAGGACUACCCGCUGAACUUAAGCAUAUCAAUAAGCGGAGGA